UUUAUAAUCAGACCAUUAAGUAGCUGAAUUGGAUCAAUGUUCUUGUACACUGCAUCAUUUGCAUCAAUCAUGGUGGAUUUAGUACAAAUAUAGAGUCCAAAAAGAGGCAAAAAAAAUACAGGGGAUCUGCAUGUGACAUCCCCAAUUUUAAUAUAGUAUAAGGGUGCCAGAUACCAAGACAGAAUACAAGUGCAUUAAA
This 199-nucleotide long non-coding RNA is filed under the name Carica papaya (papaya). RNAcentral's name for it is "long non-coding RNA (CPAP_LNC013008)". The record is from RNAcentral. Lineage: Eukaryota; Viridiplantae; Streptophyta; Magnoliopsida; Brassicales; Caricaceae.